RNAcentral lists this ribosomal RNA (737 nucleotides) under uncultured eukaryote. Its description in RNAcentral is "eukaryotic LSU rRNA". The stretch from base 256 to 409 matches the Rfam family "5.8S ribosomal RNA". The record is from RNAcentral.
GUCGUAACAAGGUUUCUGUAGGUGAACCUGCAGAAGGAUCAUUAGUGAAGAUUUGGGCAGGCCAUACGGACGCCAAAAAGUGUCCCUGGCCGCCUACACCCACUAUACAUCCACAAACCCGUGUGCACUGUCUUGGAGAAAGGCUUCAGAGAAGUUUUUUGUGGCCUCUCUUGGGGUCUUUCUUCGCUACAAACUCGAAUGGUUAGUAUGAACGUGGAACUUGGUUGGACCGUCACUGGCCAACAAACUAUACACAACUUUCGACAACGGAUCUCUUGGUUCUCCCAUCGAUGAAGAACGCAGCGAAACGCGAUAGGUAAUGUGAAUUGCAGAAUUCCGUGAAUCAUCGAAUCUUUGAACGCACCUUGCGCUCUAUGGCAAUCCGUAGAGCAUGCCUGUUUGAGUGCCAUGAAAUCUCCCACCCCAAGCGGUUUUUAAAUGAAACGGCUUGGCGGAUGGGGUCUGGAUGGGUGCCUCUGCCUGCGCUACCUAGCACAGGCUCGCCCGAAAUGCAUGAGCGCCUUGAGACACUUUGCAUCCGCCUCUCUGUUUGGGAGGAGGCGGCCAAGCAGUGUUUUUCUCCUGGCAUGGCAUGAUACGUCAUUUGCUAUGUCGCCUAAAGGAGGAAUGUUUGGUUGUGUCUGCGUGUGCUUCGAACUUGCCUCUGUGGCACAUCCCAAUUUCACUUCUGGUCUCAAAUCAGGUAGGAUCACCCGCUGAACUUAAGCAUAUCAAUA